UUUUUUUUCUAUACGGAGAAAGAACCAACAGGGAUUGCCCUAGUAACGGCGAGUGAAGCGGCAACAGCUCAAAUUUGAAAUCUGGCUCUUUUAGAGUCCGAGUUGUAAUUUGCAGAGGGCGCUUUGGCUUUGGCAGCGGUCCAAGUUCCUUGGAACAGGACGUCACAGAGGGUGAGAAUCCCGUACGUGGUCGCUGGCUAUUGCCGUGUAAAGCCCCUUCGACGAGUCGAGUUGUUUGGGAAUGCAGCUCUAAAUGGGAGGUACAUUUCUUCUAAAGCUAAAUAUUGGCCAGAGACCGAUAGCGCACAAGUAGAGUGAUCGAAAGAUGAAAAGCACUUUGGAAAGAGAGUCAAACAGCACGUGAAAUUGUUGAAAGGGAAGCGCUUGCAGCCAGACUUGCUUACAGUUGCUCAUCCGGGUUUCUACCCGGUGCACUCUUCUGUAGGCAGGCCAGCAUCAGUUUGGGCGGUAGGAUAAAGGUCUCUGUCACGUACCUCCUUUCGGGGAGGCCUUAUAGGGGAGACGACAUACUACCAGCCUGGACUGAGGUCCGCGCAUCUGCUAGGAUGCUGGCGUAAUGGCUGUAAGCGGCCCGUCUUGAAACACGGACCAAGGAGUCUAACAUCUAUGCGAGUGUUUGGGUGUCAAGCCCGAGCGCGUAAUGAAAGUGAACGGAGGUGGGAACCCGCAAGGGUGCACCAUCGACCGAUCCUGAUGUCUUCGGAAGGAUUUGAGUAAGAGCAUGGCUGUUGGGACCCGAAAGAUGGUGAACUAUGCUUGAAUAGGGUGAAGCCAGAGGAAACUCUGGUGGAGGCUCGCAGCGGUUCUGACGUGCAAAUCGAUCGUCAAAUUUGGGCAUAAGGGGCGAAAGACUAUCGAACUACUAGACUGUCGAGGCCAACC
This 903-nucleotide ribosomal RNA is filed under the name Alternaria alternata. RNAcentral describes it as "partial large subunit ribosomal RNA". It matches the Rfam family "Eukaryotic large subunit ribosomal RNA", at positions 41 to 962 of the family's 3401-position model. The record is from RNAcentral. Lineage: Eukaryota; Fungi; Ascomycota; Dothideomycetes; Pleosporales; Pleosporaceae.